CCUACGGUGGGCUGCAGUGGGGAAUUUUGGACAAUGGGCGCAAGCCUGAUCCAGCCAUUCCGCGUGAGUGAAGAAGGCCUUCGGGUUGUAAAGCUCUUUCGCAAGGGAAGAAAACUUAUCCUCUAACAUAGGAUGAGGUUGACGGUACCUUGAUAAGAAGCACCGGCUAACUACGUGCCAGCAGCCGCGGUAAUACGUAGGGUGCUACCGUUAAUAGGAAGUACGGGGGGUACUGCGUAAGCAAGAUGUGAAAUCCCCGAGCUCAACUUGGGAACUGCGUUUGAAACUACAAGACUAGAAUAGGUCAGAGGGGGGUAGAAUUCCACGUGUAGCAGUGAAAUGCGUAGAGAUGUGGAGGAAUAUCAAUGGCGAAGGCAGCCCCCUGGGAUCAUAUUGACGCUCAUGCACGAAAGCGUGGGGAGCAAACAGGAUUAGAUACCCGAGUAGUC
RNAcentral lists this ribosomal RNA (449 nucleotides) under uncultured bacterium. RNAcentral's name for it is "partial 16S ribosomal RNA". It matches the Rfam family "Bacterial small subunit ribosomal RNA", at positions 338 to 795 of the family's 1533-position model. The record is from RNAcentral.